AACGCACCUUGCGCUCCUUGGUAUUCCGAGGAGCAUGCCUGUUUGAGUGUCAUGAAAAAUGUUCAGAGAAACCCUUUUUGGCUUUUUUUGUAUUAAGCUUUAGAAUCGUUUCUUGGAUACGUGGAGGGCUGCUGAGGACAUCUUUUCUCAGCUCCUCUGAAAUGCAUUAGCAAAAAUUGUUUGCUGGUCUGUUCUCUGGUAUGAUAAUUAUCUAUAUCAGUUGAAUUCCCAAAAAGAACUUUUUGCUUCCAAACCGUCUUUGUCAAAGACAGCAAGAAAAUACAAUUUUGACCUCAAAUCAGGUAGGACUACCCGCUGAACUUAA
RNAcentral lists this unclassified non-coding RNA (325 nucleotides) under uncultured fungus. Its description in RNAcentral is "sequence contains ITS2". The stretch from base 1 to 52 matches the Rfam family "5.8S ribosomal RNA", at positions 103 to 154 of the family's 154-position model. The record is from RNAcentral. Lineage: Eukaryota; Fungi.